Molecule: long non-coding RNA, 481 nt
Filed under: Olea europaea subsp. europaea
Lineage: Eukaryota; Viridiplantae; Streptophyta; Magnoliopsida; Lamiales; Oleaceae
Source: RNAcentral
AAAGAGCCGAUAAAAUUCAAGGUACCGACCCUUCAAAAUUUUUUUUUCAACAUAAGAAAAAUAGUUUGAAAAGAAGACUUUUGGAGUUAGGAUUGAGUAAUAAAUUAACCAAAGUAUGAUGGUGGAGGAUCAGCCUUCCCAGAUGACCUCAUCAGAUGGUGCAACAUGAGAGAAACUUUCAGCAGAUUUUGGUAUGGCAACAAUUUUAGUGCUAUGUUCCACGGUGUCUCUGUAGUGUUUUAUUUCCCAGCUAUCAAUGUUGUCUCCUUUCCCCAGCUGCUGCUGUUUUCAAUGUCUCUCUCCAAAGUUGCCGUGUAAUUUCUAUACAUGAAUAUAUAUAUAAUAACAGCCGGCCUACUCCUUUUCUUUGUGUAUAUAAUUGUUGCAGAAAAACGGUAGAUUGAGGAACGUAAUUCAAGGGUUGAUUUCUUUAGGACCGAACUUGCUUUGAUACCAUGUUAAGAAAAAUAUUGCUCUGAUA